UGCAACUGGUGUGAUCUCGGCUCACUACAACCUCUGCCUCCUGGGUUCAAGCGAUUCUCCUGCCUCAAGCUCCCAAGUAGCUGGGAUUACAAGCAUGCACCACCAUGCCUGGCUAAUUUUUGUAUUUUUAGUGGAGACGGGGUUUCGCCACAUUGGCCAGGGUGGUCUUGAACUCCUGACCUCAAGUGAUCCACCUGCCUUGGCCUCCCAAAGUGCUGGGAUUAUAAGCAUGAGCCACUGCACCCAGCCUUAUACUGAACUUUCAAUGGGUUCAAUUCCACUAGGAGCAUAAAGGCCACUGCAUAUGAGUUGUGGAAAGAAGAGAUUAGAAGAAGGAAGAACUUGAGAUGAGUUCCUCCCUUCAACAUUCUGUCUCCUCCUACCUAGCAUCUUCUUUCUUUUAGUCUUUCUAGAAUGUCCAUCUGUUUUUGGCCAUUGCGGAAAGAGAAGCUGAGCUUUAAAGGCGUAGGAGCUUCAAAGGCGUAGGAGCUUCAAAAUUCUUGUUUCUUCAUGUUUGAUCACCCUUCUAAACCUGUCUUCUGUUCCUUCUGCUAUUCUUUUUUCUUAGAGCAUAGGAAAGGGGAGCUUUUAAGUUAAUACUUAAAGCAUGGAAAAAAAGAACUUGAGAAGAAAGUAAAACAAGGGAGAUGAGGCUAGUAAAGUAAGGAAAAUGAAGAGGAAGAGGAGGAAGGGUUAGCUUCUAAAUUCCAAGUCAAAUUGAUAUGGAACAGGCAAGCCUCUUGUCUUACUUAAACUUCAGAAAAGGAUCUGCUGAAACUUGAUAGAAAUGGAAAGGGAAAUCCUUGGGGUGGGGAACCUCCAAACAUUAGUAAUGAUAUUGAACAACUCAGAGUAUUGAGGAAAUCUGCAGGCUACAUGCCUGAAGAUUACCCAUGCAGAUAGACCAAAAGGAUUAGAAUUAUCUGUUGAUAUUAGUAAUAUUUAUUGACAUCUAGCUAGUAUUGGUAAUUUUAAGUUUUAGAUUAAUUUCUUUGGUAAUAGCUAUGAUAUAUUUUAUAGACAAGAAUUAUAUCUAUAGGCUUGCUAUCAUAGGCUCUUUUAAUCAGCAUUAAUUUAGUCUACUGAUUUUUAGCACAUUUGAAUCAUUCACUUAUGCUAGGUAACUCAUUGCAAAAUAAAAAGAUGAUUCCUGUAUGUAUGGCAGCUAUACAUUAAGGAGGAGUCUACCAGAAUAUGAAAAAGUCAACUGACCUAAAUAUUGCUGAGACAAAGGAAAACCCACUCCCUUGGAGGAGCAUGACCUUUUCCUGUAAUUCUUCCCACUGCUGUUGUUGAGCUCCUUGGACCAUGGCUCCUGGACACCAUCAUCAAGAAGACUUUAUGGAUGGGCUGUCCACCCACUGAGAGAAGAGGAGCAUCAGCUACAGUUUCUCUCUAGAUUGCCUUCUUCAUUUUGAGUAAUGACUGUCAGCAGGGUCAGAUUAAAGACAAAACAACUGGACAAUUGCUUGGAGGACUAAACUAUAAGGGCACUAACAUAUCAAUAGUAUGCUAACACAUCCAUGGAAAAUAUAUUUACCAGCUCUUCUCUCAGGGAGGAUUCUGUGUGGGGUUGGAAGUAAUGAUUUGUUAAAUUCCUUAGGGGUAGAAAGUAGGGCAUAAUCAGAAUAUAGAGGAAUAGGCUGUUUGACUUCAGGGUUUCUGUUUUUCUUACUAGGAUAUAUAAAACAGGGACUCUAGCUAGAUUGUUUAUGACCACAGAGGGUAGGCUGAGCGCUCUCAUGAUCUUCCUGCUUGGUUCUUGCCCAUACAGAGGUCAGCCUUUCCUCUAAUAAAGAUUGAACAAGUAGUGGUCUGAGGGAGACACCAACUCAUUACCCUACAUGUCUCUUCUCUGCACUCCAGGGCUUUGAUAAUAAAGACACUGGCAGACUAUCUAUCUUCCAUUUCUAUAAUGUGAGCCCUUAGGGAGUCUUCGUUCACUUGGGGGUGAGGGUCAUUGCUCACAGAGUAGUUCAAGUCAAAUGGAACUUGAACUCUUUGCCUAUGGGCCUGGUGGUCAGACUCUGUGUUGAGUUCAUUAGAUUAUUGGAGACACAAGGUAGAGCUGGAUGCUUCAAAAAUAUUUGGCUAAAGGAUGACAUUGCUGGUUAUUUGUAGAUAAAGCCAUGAUGGAACCUGCUUGGAAUCAUGAAAUAUGGAACUGGUGGUCAUGUUUAAAAAUACAACUAAUAGUUAAGUACCUACUGGACACUGUAGAGACUUAGGGGCUAGACAGACAUGGUUCCUGCCCCCAUGGAGCUUACACUGUAGCUUCCCCUUAGGUAUGAAGAACAGUGGCUACAACUAACAAAUGGCCACAAAGAUAUAAUUGAGCCAGUGUUCCAAUUAUUAGGGUAAUUCCUAUUUCCUUAAUCAUGCCUAUUGACCAUGUUCUAUAAGCCUGCAUUCUAUAAAUGGCCUAUGACCAUGGGCUGUUUCCCCCCAGCAAGUUGUACAAAGUUCUGUGGUACCAGGGAAAGGGCUUAAGGUUAGCAGGGCCUCUGGGGAAGGACAUAUGAAGUGACUUGGGUUAGGAAACAGGAAGGGAUAGGAUUCAAGAACAGCUAUUGCUUCUGUUCUAUAUAGGAAACUGCAGCGUGAAAAAUGCUGGGCUGGGAAUUUUGAGACCUGGGUUUUAGUUUGUGUUCUAAUACUAACAAGCUAUGUGACUGUGGUUAAGUCAUUUCACAUUCCAUUUGGAUGCCUCUUGAGUGACUCCAGGCCUCUCCAGCUCUAAAACAUUGAGAUCAGGCCCUACGCUACAGCUGGCCAGUGUGUAGUUCUUCUGUUUCUAUGCUGUUAGGUCAAAUAGAUCUUCAAUAGUUACUUGAUUGUUAUUACUUUUUUCUGAAGUGGGUGUUUUAUCAGUGUUUUAGGAUACAGUGAGUCUGCUUCUCCCCUUUGGAGUUAGGAAGGUUGUAGGAAUAUACACUGUAGAGCAUAUGGGAGCUUUAUCUCCUCCUUUUUCCCCCCCUACCUUUCUCCCUCUCCUUCCCUUCGUCACAUUUCUAUUGAGCAUAUGCCAUUGCCGUGUACCAGGUGUGUGCUAGGUUUGGAGAUACAAGGUAAACUUGAGACUUUCCCAGCCUCCAGGAGACAAAACCCUAAUUUCUUUCAUCUGCUGUCUUUCUCUUUGGAAAGAAUCAACGAUAUCCCAGGGGAAUGUGCCCAUGUCCCAGGGUAACCAACUACAGACAGAUGCCCCAUUCUACUCAAGCAACUUUUAGAGUGCCUUGAGAUACACAUCAGAUAAUUAUGCAGGGCCAGGCAUGGUGGUGCACACUUGUAAUCACAGCACUUUGGGAGGCCGAGGCAGCAGAUUGCUUGAGCCCAGGAAUUCAAGUGUAGCCUAGGGAACAUGGCAAAACCCCAGCUCUACAAAAAAAUACACAAAUUAGCUGCGUGUGGUGGCCUAUGACAGGAGGCUGAGAUGGGAGGAUUGCUUGAGCCUGUGAGGUCGAGGCUGCAGUGAGCCGAGAUCAUGCCAUUGCACUCCAGCCUGGGUGACAUAGGGAGACCCUGUCUUGAAAAAAAAAAAAAAAAAAGAUAAUUAUUCAGCCCUAGAGUCAUUGUGAAAAGAUCUAUCUUCAGAUAUAAGGAAGAAACAAUCUUUUAUUUCUUAGGAUAAAUCUGUAGAAGGACCUCCAGACAGUGAAGGCCACUGACUACUUUACACUCUGUAAGCCAUCCCUCCCUGGUAGGAAGGACUAUUUCCAAUCUUACAGAGUACCUCUCAGCAAAUAGACGUUUUCACAUAUACUGUGAUUCAUACAUCCCUAUGGCUGGUGACCUCUUUAAAAAGGAAAGGAAAAAGCCUAAUCAAACAAAAAGAUUCUUUUUUUUACAAUAUUACAAUUGUAAUUACAAUAGUAAUUCUUACCCUAUUGUGAAUCCUAUAUAAGCAAAUUUGUAUCUUUGUUUUUUCCCACAUUAGCAGAUCUAUUUGAUGUAUAUCUCUGAGUGCAGAAAAUAUUUUAUGGAAAAAUCAAUAUAUGGAAUUUCAAAUUCAGAAUUGCUGAUACACACUAUUUGGUUUCAGAAUUUUAUCCUAGGAAAUAGUAUUAGAGAUUUCAAUUUCUGGCUUAAAUGGUAGAAUUAAUUACUCUUAACUCUUAAUUUUACUUCUGAGUUGAGGUCAAGGAACAGGCAGACACCUCCAGUUAACGUCUAUACCUCUCCAUGGCCAAGAGUUUUAAUUUUCUCGUCUUCAGUUUUGUAGAUGUACAUCAUUACUAAAUGGAUUGAUUAGUAUUUUAUCUCCUCUCCUUGUCCUUACUUUCCCUCUGGUAAAUAUGUUAUAAACAGUGUAAGGCUCCUAAGAUAGAGUAGCUGGUAGGACUUAGAAGAGAAACAAAGGGCACUGAUAACUCACAUAAAUGGAAAAUUGGCUCUGGAAUAACUGACAACAUAUUCAAGUAUUUUAGUGCAGUGUCAUUCUCAUUAAGAAGAAGAGAACCAGUAAAUCUAUGUGACUCUAAACAUUCUAAUGAAAAAAGGAAUAUUCUGCCAAUUAUCUCACAUUUCUAAAUAUCUGGAUAUUGGCCAUCAUAAAGACAAAACAUACAGAUGAUGGACUUGUCUUUCCACCUCUCAUUUGCAUGGUUUGGAGCAUUGUACCUCCAGCCAUUGACUCUAAGGCAAUUUAUAUUUGCUUCCUCUUCCCUCUUGAGAGAAAACGAAAAUCUUAUUUUUCCAAGCAAUUAAAACUCUUCUGCUUCAGCUAGGAUGAAAGAAUUAGGAGUUCUGUCUCUUUGUAUCUAAUUGCAUGUUUCAUCUUUCUUGUUUUAAUGAUUGACAGAAAACUAAUAAACUGAGACAUCUUUGAAUCCAGGUUGAAUGUACUCUCUUGGUGGCCCCAUUGCUAAUUUGUUUGACUAUUUUGCAGGAUUUCUUACUCUGUAAUGGAAAGGUUUAUUAAAUAUGAGGGGUGCAAAGCUUUCUGAAUACUAAUGAACUUAUUUGCCA
Molecule: long non-coding RNA, 4968 nt
Filed under: Pan troglodytes (chimpanzee)
Lineage: Eukaryota; Metazoa; Chordata; Mammalia; Primates; Hominidae
Description: long non-coding RNA NONPTRT016303
Source: RNAcentral